Molecule: non-coding RNA, 3239 nt
Organism: Cyanistes caeruleus (blue tit)
Lineage: Eukaryota; Metazoa; Chordata; Aves; Passeriformes; Paridae
Source: RefSeq, a predicted model, not a curated record
CGAGGAGCGCCCGCCUCUUCCUCCGCUCCCCGGCAGCCCCAGGGCGGGACGGCGGCGCCUCAGGGCGCUCUGCCCGGCCCUCACGCUGCCGGGGCUCUGUUCUCUCAGUGUCGCCCGGGAACAGCCGGGGUGGGAGCAGAGGUGGGUCGGGUUGGCCCGGUUUGGUUCCUCUGUGCAGCGCCGUGCUCGCGCGUCCCUCAGAGCCCGGUCACGGCCUUCCAAAUCAGGACACCCCGACCAAGCGCUCCUCGGUUUUAAAAGUCUCCGAGCAACAAACCUAUGUAAGAUUAUGGUCCUGAAAGAGGGACAGGCUGUGGUUUAGGAAAUGUCUAGUGAAGACGACGCUGCAAAACGCCCACAGUAACUCCUACGUUUGAAAGCCCUCCACUUUCAAUGAAAAGAAACAUUUCACGACCUAAAUGAUCAUUUUUAGCCCGCAAUUUCCUACAAAAACUUUCACUUUCUUACACUGUUCACUGGUAAUUUUGUUGAAGUAACUGAAAAUGGAGAUACUUAAAAGCUGUUAGCUGCACACUUCCCCAGCUCUAAAAUCAAUGUGUGGACCUUUGCUCAUUGUGUGCUCACUUCUCCAGGCUCUAAACAAAACACAUCAUGAAGGAACAUGCUGGAGAUAAAAGGGAGACUAGGGAAAAUGUCAGACUUCUCUGGAAGUGAAGCUCCAGUGAGCCUCCACUCACUGGCAGGUGCUGCAGCUACACCAUCAAAGUUGCAAAAGGAGAAGUCAAGGACCAGAGAGAACAGAUAGAAAGAAACAGACAAGAGUGAGAUCUACCAAGAGGAGUCUUCUUUCUCUUCUUCAUUCCCUCCCAUCAAGUAUUUAUACACAUUGAUGAGAGCCCCCUGAGCCUUCUCUAUCCCCAACUGAAGAGUUCCAGCUGUCUCAGCUUCUCCCAUUAUGAAAGACACAGCAACCCUUUAAUCAUCUCUGUGCCUUGCACAGGACUCACUCCACUAAUGAAACAACAUGAGGGGAGGAGUGAGAAAAAGAGGUUUUUGACAGAAGACCUGUAGAACAGGAAGAAGAUAAUAAAUUUGCAUUUGUAUGUUUUGUGAAAUGCACCUAAAGCAAUGAGAAGGACUGUGUGUAAAACUCAUCAGGCUUCAACCAGAAAACAAUCACACCUAAUGUGCCCAAAUAUCAUAAAAUUCAUCAUGUUCCGCAGCAAAAAAAGAGGAUGUCUUUUUUGUCAAUUGCUGAUGUUCAGUGAUGAAGCCAAGAGUAGUAUCAAAUGUACACAGUUGUCUUUGUCAGAGUGUAAAACCUUCAGUUUUUUUGACUGUGCUGGUUUAUUAAUUCUCAGUUACCUGCUCCAUGCAUGAGGAGAGAAGCAGUCCAGCACACAUAAACUAGAACAUUCUAUGGCUAAGUAGGUGACACAAUGAAAUGAUUUUGAGAAGUGCUUACUAUUGCUUUAUUUUAAAAGUUAAAUGGUAUCCUGACAUUUACAAGCUUAAAUCCACAAAGGGCUAUUGGAUCAUCUACUCCUCACCUCACGUGUAUAUCAAGCAUAUGAUCUACAAGUGGAAAGGCUUUUAGGCUUAAAUCUGAGAUGGAUUACUGCCUGCUUGCAGCAAAACAUCUUAAUAAACAGCAUGGCUCUCAAUUUUGUUUUAAUUCUACCCCUAUUCUGUGAGGAUAAGAAUCAAGAAAAAGAGCACAGGAACAUCUUGAAUUCCCUGGAUCCUUGUCAGAAGAUAGCAGAGCUUUUCUUUGUGUUUUCUGCUUAUAAAGAGUCAUUUUUUUCAGGACUGUCAUGAAGUGUUUGUGAAGCUCCUGCACCAGUCUGCCCUGUAAUGGGAGUUCAUUCAAAGGCCAAGUUGUUUCAGGACAAGCAUCAGUAGCAAUUACCACUUCCAGCUUUUCUGGAACACACUCACAGAAGUGUGAGUUUGUGUCAAGGGCUCCAGAGUCAGACUGCUAGCCUAAGCUUCAGACACAAAGAGAGAUCAGUUACUCUCAGUUUCCUGUAUGACAGUUCUUCAUGUUGAAGUUUUAGGUAAAAUUUCAACUUCAAUUUUGACAAACAAGUUAGGGCACUAUUUAAAAAAAAAAUAAAUAAAUUGUGCCUCUUGCAAUGAUCUAGUUUUCAAACUAUAGUCAUUAAAAGAGUAAGAGGAAAUUAUAUUUCAAAUGUCUACAGAAUCCUUUUACUUCACUACUGCAAAACUUGCCAUCUAGCAAAAGCCUCUAAGUAAUUCAGAAUAAGUUAUAAAAUGGACUUCAGAAAUCAAUGCUUAGUUUAAUUGGAUACUCACACUAUGAUUAAUUCAAGUAUUUGAGGAGCAAGUCUUUCUGCACAUAGCUUUACAUAGCUAAAUGUAACCAUGAAAUUGGCUCUAAAAUAGUGUUCAGCUUCUGAAACAUCUAAUGUGGUGUACAUCUGGUUCUCUACAUAAACUAGUGUGAGUUUGGUUGAAUAAAAUUGCAAGACUGGAGCCUGUAUCUUUCCAGAUAUCAGUCACUGAUUUGAGUGCUGUACUUCCAUGAUGCUACAAAAAACAACUGUCAUACAGCUGCCUAUAUUGGAGUUCCUCUCCAAAGAAUAAGGAAUUUCCCUAUGUUGGUUCCUCAGCAACUCAGCAUAUGAAUAGCCUGUAAUGAUCCAGCUGCUGAUUCAGCUCUCUACUCUUUUCACAGAACUCUAAGAAGCUUUCAAAAGCUAUUUAUGCUUUAUGAAAUUCACAGUAAAAAGAAUUGAUGGCUAUGGCUAUGUGAUGGUGUAUUAUUUUUGACAGUGCAUAUGCAGUACAGGAAAAAUGGGAAAUGGAAAAGGAUAGAGGAUGAGGUUUUGUGCAGUUUUUCCAAUUGUGCUCUGAGUAAAUUUUUGCAUGUGUGGUUUUUUUCUUGCUUAUUUGUCCUGUCAUUCAAAUAAAUGGAGAUCUUGAUGUCAUAGAAAAUCUCUAAAGCCUCUAUACUUUAGUGAUAAAAAACAUUGUGUCUUUGGAUGUGCUCUUGAAUUGUUCAUCAGGCCGUAACAUCACGUGGUUUUUGGCAGUGACAGUGUGUGUUUCAGGUGAAGAAGUGAAUUAAAUAGUGGCCCAAACUAUUUCUGGUAUUUUAAUUGUAUUACAUUUGGAGUGCAAUAUUUAAAUGACCUUCUCUUGGUAUGUCAGUUUUCUCUCAGCUGUCAUUUCACCUCAGAAACUUUUGUAUGAAGACAAUAUUUUAAGAUUAAAUUUUAAGAUUAAUAAGAAAUUGCAUUAGUUUGGUCUCUAGA